GCUCAACCGGGGAGGGUCAUUGGAAACUGGGGAACUUGAGUGCAGAAGAGGAGAGUGGAAUUCCACGUGUAGCGGUGAAAUGCGUAGAGAUGUGGAGGAACACCAGUGGCGAAGGCGACUCUCUGGUCUGUAACUGACGCUGAGGCGCGAAAGCGUGGGGAGCGAACAGGAUUAGAUACCCUGGUAGUCCACGCCGUAAACGAUGAGUGCUAAGUGUUAGAGGGUUUCCGCCCUUUAGUGCUGCAGCAAACGCAUUAAGCACUCCGCCUGGGGAGUACGGUCGCAAGACUGAAACUCAAAGGAAUUGACGGGGGCCCGCACAAGCGGUGGAGCAUGUGGUUUAAUUCGAAGCAACGCGAAGAACCUUACCAGGCCUUGACAUCCUCUGACAACCCUAGAGAUAGGGCUUCCCCUUCGGGGGCAGAGUGACAGGUGGUGCAUGGUUGUCGUCAGCUCGUGUCGUGAGAUGUUGGGUUAAGUCCCGCAACGAGCGCAACCCUUGAUCUUAGUUGCCAGCAUUCAGUUGGGCACUCUAAGGUGACUGCCGGUGACAAACCGGAGGAAGGUGGGGAUGACGUCAAAUCAUCAUGCCCCUUAUGACCUGGGCUACACACGUGCUACAAUGGGCAGAACAAAG
RNAcentral lists this ribosomal RNA (637 nucleotides) under uncultured bacterium. RNAcentral describes it as "bacterial SSU rRNA". It matches the Rfam family "Bacterial small subunit ribosomal RNA", at positions 607 to 1244 of the family's 1533-position model. The record is from RNAcentral.